GUCUAUGUAGUAUACUUAUUACACUGGUCUUGUAAACCAGAGACGAGGAACAGCAAUUCCUCCAAAGACUC
This 71-nucleotide transfer RNA is filed under the name Miniopterus fuliginosus (Japanese long-fingered bat). RNAcentral describes it as "tRNA-Thr". Lineage: Eukaryota; Metazoa; Chordata; Mammalia; Chiroptera; Miniopteridae. The record is from RNAcentral.